AAAUUGAAGAGUUUGAUCAUGGCUCAGAUUGAACGCUGGCGGCAGGCCUAACACAUGCAAGUCGAACGGUAACAGGAAGCAGCUUGCUGUUUCGCUGACGAGUGGCGGACGGGUGAGUAAUGUCUGGGAAACUGCCUGAUGGAGGGGGAUAACUACUGGAAACGGUAGCUAAUACCGCAUAACGUCGCAAGACCAAAGAGGGGGACCUUCGGGCC
RNAcentral lists this ribosomal RNA (215 nucleotides) under Escherichia coli. Its description in RNAcentral is "partial 16S ribosomal RNA". It matches the Rfam family "Bacterial small subunit ribosomal RNA", at positions 1 to 215 of the family's 1533-position model. The record is from RNAcentral. Lineage: Bacteria; Pseudomonadati; Pseudomonadota; Gammaproteobacteria; Enterobacterales; Enterobacteriaceae.